This is a long non-coding RNA of Ornithorhynchus anatinus (platypus), 282 nucleotides long. RefSeq lists it as uncharacterized. The record is from RefSeq and is a predicted model, not a curated record. The transcript has 3 exons. NCBI's taxonomy places the organism in Eukaryota, Metazoa, Chordata, Mammalia, Monotremata, Ornithorhynchidae.
AAAGGGUGGUAGUGCGCAUGCUCGGAGAGGGGGUUGUUUUUUCCCCACCGAAGAGUUAUUAAGGGCACUUUGUACAGAGAUAGAGGUGGGGGUGGGUUGAACUUUGUAGUUGGGCCCUGUGUUUUAUCUUCAAGGAAGUCCUUGAGAUUUUUACAGUUCAGAAUUUCUCAUACCAUUUGUCGAAUACAUGUCAGAUUCAUGGAGGGGCAGGCCAGAAGUCUUUGCUGUCUCAUUGAGCUGCAGCUAACUAAAGGGAGAGGGAGGCACCGAGGAAGAGAAACG